Molecule: long non-coding RNA, 2622 nt
Filed under: Ananas comosus (pineapple)
Lineage: Eukaryota; Viridiplantae; Streptophyta; Magnoliopsida; Poales; Bromeliaceae
Description: long non-coding RNA (ACOM_LNC036917)
Source: RNAcentral
GUUGGUGGAGAGCGAGCUUGCGAACGCAUUGGAGGCGUCGGUUCGGGCUUUCGUGCGACCGUUGCAACGAUGUGUUUUCGUCGCGGCAUUCACAUUGAGGUAAGCUUUUGGGAUUUGGCUUAAUCCUUAGUUUUAAGUGUUCUAAUAGUCUCUAAUGAGCAUUCUAAAUAUGUUUGCUCUAUUUAAUUUGGAUUAUUUAGAGGUUAAUUGCAUGUUAGGGCUCCGAAUGGGGUUUUGUAAAAUGUAUGGGUUUGAUCUCAUUUGACCCUCCGUAAACCAAAUUGCUAGGUAACGAAACGCGUUGGCGAAGACGGUUCGGCAAUCCGACGAGCCGUUACAAAGUUAUUAAAGAAAUAGACGUUUAGGCUUCGGGUCCGCCGGGAGGGCCGAGGCGACAUCGUAAAAUCAUGAAAACGGAUUUGAAGCAUCGUGGCACAUAACCGAAGACCUUUAAUUUUCGGAUCGUGAAUUGGAGGCCGUUCGGUUGGUCGCGCAAGAGAUCGGGCCAAACCGAGUGCCGGGUGCCGCGGGAGGCCGAUUGUAAGUGUCGACAAGCAAUCGGAAUGCGAAAUGAGGUGGGUUGUGCUUACCGAAGCGACUAGGUCGCCCUUUAUGUCUAAGAAUUGAGAUUUCAUAUUGAUGCAUAUUGUCAUAAUAUAAGAAUGUGAAAAGAAUGCAUGUUAACAUACUUUAGAAUAUGCUAAAUGUAAUGCAUAAUGAAUUAAGUGCUAAAAGAAUGCAUGAGAUGCUAAGUAUGGACUACUUUGGAUAAUGACUAUAUGUAUGUUGACAAAUCAUGUGAUGCUAGUGGUAUAUGUGCAUGAUGAUAUAUUAUGAAUUUACAUAUUGUGGAUUAUGUUAAAUAGAAAAACAUACUUGAUGACAUAUUGCCAUGUUGUGGAACAUAGUGGACAAUCUAUAUAUAUAUUAGAUCGAGUGGCAUUAAACCUAGCAUCUUGAACCUAGCAAACACUUGUGGUGAUUGAUCAUAUAUAUUCUGGUGUCAUUCAUGUAUGUUAGGACCCUAUUAUUGUGUAAAUGUGAGAGUUGGACUUGAACAUUAGUAAACAAGGGUGACAAUGACAAUAGAGACAUGAUUGGCAUCAAGAAAGUGAUUGUUAAACAUAGUUUAACCAUAUUGACAUUGGUCCAAGUUGACAUAGAGUGGCAUGAUUAAAUAGGUAGAAACCUAUUGUGACAUUGGCAUUGUGACUAGUGGCUAUGUAUCCUCAAGUUGAGGAUUGGAUCGACACUCACGAUAAGUCUUGGCUUGAGGGAGGUAGCUCCCCCUCGGGCGGUGCGCUCCGGAGUUGGUCACCACUGGGCGUGGUAAAGUCCCACCAGUUGACGGUCCCUAGGGAGGUUCGAGUCCCCCGUUAUUAAGGGAUUUGGUUGUGAGUUAUUGGGGUUAACAUGGUUAACCGGUAAGAUUGGGUCAUAGCCAAAUGAGUGUACAACAAGUAUGCAUUAUGAGUUAUGGAUUUGGUAUCCUAGUCGAGAGGAUCUAGGGCUGAGGUGUAUGUGAGACGUCCAUCGCCUCGAGCCUGGUUCUAGUGCGGUACUCCGCAGACGAUUGACUCAAGACCGAGUCGGGUGGUUAGCCUUGUAAAGGAAGAUGAAACCUUAUGAUUAAAACGGUGAUUGACAAGAAUCUAAGAUAGAGGAAACCUUAAAUAUCAAAUGGAUGAGCUAUGGUUAGCAGAAUUGAAAGUAGUAUCGAAUGAACUACUAGUUGGUUGCAUAGUUGCAUUAUUGCAUGAUUUGCAUAUAGCAUUACAUUAUUGCAUUCGUGAGGCAAUGCAUGGUUUUAUUCGUUGCAUAAUCAAGAUAUAUAUCUAUCUGUUUAUUGAACUAACUUGCAGUUGCCUCCCUUGGACCUAUUGGUCGAACUUUUCCCUUGGGUGGCCGUACCCACUGGGAACCAUGGAGUUGGUUCUCACCCCACGUGGUUUUGGGGUGUUACAGGUUCACACGUGAGCGGCGCGGCGGCGCGAGGCGAGGGCGUAGCAUCAUAGUUAGCGCCCUACCACCGAGACCAGAGAUAGCGGUACCCUGAGUCGGCUUUUCUUAAAGAUGUAAGAAAAUGAAAGGAAUAAGAUUGUAAUAAUCAUGUUAAAUCGGAUUGUAUUUGGAAGUUAAAUGUAAUAAGUAUUUGGGAUGUAAAAUGUAUGAAUGUGAAUGCAUGUAAUAACAUAAGAUGUGUUAUGUUGUUUGAUACCUUCCAUUAUGCAAUCUUGAUUGAAAUGUGUUCCUGGUUGGAACUUUGUACAUUGUAUUGAUUGCUAUGCCUUGAACGUACAGGGGAGACUCUGUCCGCAGUACAGGGGAAACCCUGUCCGUUCGGCGAUCUGUUGCGGCGCCGCGACCCGGCCAAAUAGGCGGGCGGUCGCGGGGCGUGACAGAUAAGAUGGUAUCAGAGCAUAAAAGAAGCAUAAAGAGAACAUAAAAGAAUAAUAGAAAAUGGUUUAGUUGGACCUAGGAGACCCUAGGAUAGUAAACCAUAGGAGAUUAAGGCUCGUGAGAGACGAGGACUUGUUUCUUUUGGCGAAAGGUUAAUUGAUUGGGUUGUGUCAUAAACUUCUAAAACGGAUGUUAGAGGUAGACUCAAGGUGUGGUUUAUUC